UCAAAUUUGCUUUUUAAUGUUACCCACAAUAAGAAUUACAUUUUAUAUUGUGACCCAGCACAUACAUUUAUAGAUUUAUAUGUGUAUAACAUACUAUGUAUGUGUAUAUGUUUUAAACACAUAGGGGCAUGUCUACACACAUAAAAAAUGAAACUGAAGGUCUCAUGAAAUAUACUUACCCUUGUCACCUCAGAUGCAUUAUAUUUUUAUUCUAUUUCAUUAAUAAAAAGCAGGUCAAUUCCCACCACAUUGAAGUCAUGACCCACAGUUUGACAAUCUCUCUAAACAGGCACAAUCCUGCACAUUGAGGAACUGCCUCCAGGUGAAUACAGGUGACCGAAUAGGUUAAUGGUUAAAGUUCUGAUCAUCAAAAGAAAAACUUAACUGUGUAGAUGUUAGUCCACAUAUUGAAUGGGUAUGUUAUAAUUUUAGUGAAAAAUUAUGACAUGCUAAAUAAGAACAACCACUGAGUACAAGUAUUCUCCAUCAGUGAACUUACUUGUUUUAAGAUCUGCUUAAUUGAAUCCUUGGUGUUUCAUUCUUCUAAAAGCAAGCUUUUUUUGAAACUUCACUUCAUCUGCUAGACUGGUUUUUAACUCUUCAAUCAAAGGAACCCUCAUUUUUUGAUAAACAGAUCAUCUUCUAUUCAUAAAAAACCCCCUUUAAAGUUUCUGUAGCUUUUGCUAAAAUAAUUUAAAAGAGCCCCUUGGUUUUUUAUAUUUACUUUUAAAAGCACCAUUAAUAAUAUAACGAUUGUGUAAUGUUGUCUUUCCAUUUCCAAAACCUAUUUUAAGGGAAGACACUAUAAGAAGAUUCUAGUCCUUGAAUCUUUUACCGUCUCCUCAAAAUCCUCCGUGGACCCACUAUUGCAGUUUGAAUUCAAGUUUUGGCAUGCCAGGGUUUCAUAGGGAAUUCUUGUGUCUUAGAUGAUACUCAAGAAUCGAGGGUACCAGGUGAUUCAUUUAGGUUCCAUAACACCAUAAUCUAGGGAAGAGAAAACUGUUUUUUUUGUUUUUUAAUCACACACACUUUUGCAUGUGAGCAAUAACCACAGGUAUUAAAGAUAUUUCCAAUAGUUCAAACAUUUAGCUCAGAGAAAUCUCAAAUAUCUUGAACAGGUUACAUUACAAAAUAAUCCCCUUUCAGAUAACAUGUCUAAAUAGGAGAUGAUUAUGGUUUGUUUGUUUUUUAAAAAAACACGACAUAAUCUCCAUUUGGGUAUUUCAAAAAGUUCAUGGAAAUAUUCAUUUUAUCUUUCAAUUCCAUUUCUUCAUGAACUAUAAAAAAUUCUAAAUUAAAUUUAUGAAAGGGUUAAAUCUUAGAUUUGGCUUAUUUCUACUUAUCUUUUAUUAUACCUUAACAGCAUUAUCCUCCUCUAAUGGCAACCAUACAAAAAGACUUGAGACGACCUGUUGCUCUGUGAAGCUGGACCACUGGGAUAGGAGUAUGGCCCAAUUAAUUGCUUUUGUGUACUUGACUUAUCAACUUAUCAACCUUAUCAACUCAACUUUUGUAAUAUCAUCACAAUAUCUGUGUUACUGAAAAUUAAGCUGCACCCAUAACAAUUUGGAUCUGCAGAAAAGAGCCAAAGAACUCCACUUACAGGUCAAUAACUGUUGGCUUCACAUUUCCAGUUUUGAAACCUCUACCUGUCCUUCCCACCAUCACUGCCUUUUCUUCAUUUUUCCAAUCUGACCUGAGCUAAUCUUUCCAAUACAUACAAUUUCCAUCAAAUGUGUUACACUGUUGAAGAGCAAUCAGAAUUUUUUUUCCUGAAAAAACCCUUUUCAAUGUAUAUUCCUGUAAGUUUACUUUCCUAUAUCUAGGUAAGCACCCUGUACUAUUCCUGGGGCUUUUUAUAAAUACCAUCCAUGCUGAUCCAAAUCAAACAGACCUUUAGAGGAUACUGACAAUGACAUCUUCAUUGAAUAUGAUCACUUCUAAAGCUUUAGCUCCUUGUUUGCUGCAUAAUGCUGUGCCAAGAUCUUGGCCUUUAGAUGUUCCCAGAAUCCCUGGAAACAUGACUUAUUUGUUGGUGGGUAUAGCUUUAGAAUGGUUUUACAUCCGCAACAAAAUCUGAGGAUGCACAAAGCAGUGUGAGUCUCUUACUGGGCUGGAAUUAUUUUUCUUAGUUAGAAGAACCGAAUUUUAAGUAAUAACCUAUGUUGGUGCAUUUAUGAAAUACACCAGAAGUAAAACAGAUUAAAAUAAUUUGCUAUAGCAGGAUUCCUUUUCUUUCAACCUUAGGUAUUAAAAUUUUUCUUCUGAAUAUUAAAGUCAUUAGCAUUUUUAAAUUCUAAGGAAUACUGAGGAACUCACAAUGUUUAACUUUUAAAAUAUAAAUUUAAAAAGCUAUUUUUCUUUUUUCAUAUCCUAGCCCGAUGACUUAAAGAUAUCAGCAGAGUAUCAUAAAAAUAACCCUAACACUCAAAAUGAGCUUUAUUUAAUAUCACAAAGGCUAAACAUCACAGUUCUAUCAUCAGAAAAUACUAAGAGUAUGAGAAGAAAUAACUUUUCACAAUUUCCCUUCAAAGCUUUUAAAAUAGUACACUAGUAUUUGAUUCCCUUCUAUUUUGGCUACAUUUUCAGUAACAGAACAAAAGCAUUUAAAAAUAAAUAUGGGUCCUUUAAAAAAACAAAGGAAAACGAAAAGUCAAAACCAAGAACCAAGCAUUCUCGCAUCAGUGGGAACAGGGAGGGAGAGGGGCUGAGCAGAGUUGGUUUGUUAGAUAGCAUGGAAGCCACAAUUCCUUCCCCACUUGCCCUCCAGCAUAUGCCAGCCUUGGUGCCAGGGUGGCAGGGCACUGCAGCAUGUGGAGAGGCAGACAGUUUUGCUGGCUUCCACUUGUUCCUCAGGCUGAAGUCCAAGCAGAAGUUGGACUUGCAGGGUUCCUGUCACCCUGCCAAUCCAUGGCACUCUUGGGACACUGCUAGGAGAGCCAAAUCCUGCAUGAGAAGUCACCUCCUCCACAUUCUCUUCAAUGUUAGGGGGUUAGACUAAAGGAAACCCCUUUUAUCAGAUUUUUUGGUGUUUGUGCACUAGCCAAAGUAAGAGAAAAAAAGAAGGCAAUUUAACCUCAUGAGAUAGAAAGGAAAGGUUUCUUCAAAGUAGUUGACCAGGGAAUAAAGCCCAGCAUCCCUAAAUCUCAGCUCAGUGUACUAUUUAUUCAUUUAUCAGUAGGUUUUAGAAAUUUAAAUAAUUAUGAUCCUAUCUACUUCGGGCCAUCAGAUCAUUACUUUCUCAGAGAGAAUGGCCCAAUGCCAUUGGUGCACAAAUCCACAAAAAUCUAUGUGCUACUUGAUGAUGAUUAAUACACAAAGAAUAUACGGAGCUCCAUAGUAUAGACACAAAUUUAAAAAGCAGAUAUUCUCAAAAGAGGCCUUCAUUUGCCAUUCUAAGGCUAUUAAUGAGAAAUCUUACUUUUAAUAGGUUUCCUCAAUCAGCACCUGUGUAUGUAGAUACUCAGAUGGAUACUCAUAUAUAUAUGUAUAGAUGUUCAGGAAAAAAACAUGAUCAUCUCAUAUAUGCAUGAAAUCUCUUCUAGGAACCAGUAAAGACAAUGAAUUUGUAAGGAACAUUUAAAUUGUAUUGUACUUUUUAAAAGAAAAGUGAAAAUCAUAAUCUUACAUAAUUUCCUUCAAAUGGAUAAACUUAGACAACUUAUCAAUGCUUCCUUAAAUUUUUACACCACACUGAACUCCAACAGGUUUUUGUUUUAAGGUAAACCAGGUUUUUGGUUCUUCCCUGUGGAGAAGUUACUUUCAAGUCAGUAAAAGUUCUUGGCCCAUGAUUAAAAGUCUUUGCCAAUUAGUACUCAACAACUUCAAUUCAUUUUUUUCUAGUUCAAGAUGAGUAGGAGCCUAAUAAGGCUGUGAUAAAAGGGCAAAAGGCACUGAGAGCCAAAAGCGGAUUAAUGAGCUCCUCCAUUUAUUUGUCUUCCUAACAGCUGAACUGUUACAACUAUUGACACUCUUCAAAAGGUUCCGCUCUGAACC
Molecule: long non-coding RNA, 3996 nt
Organism: Galeopterus variegatus (Sunda flying lemur)
Lineage: Eukaryota; Metazoa; Chordata; Mammalia; Dermoptera; Cynocephalidae
Exons: 2
Source: RefSeq, a predicted model, not a curated record